RNAcentral lists this ribosomal RNA (495 nucleotides) under uncultured bacterium. Its description in RNAcentral is "partial 16S ribosomal RNA". It matches the Rfam family "Bacterial small subunit ribosomal RNA", at positions 28 to 507 of the family's 1533-position model. The record is from RNAcentral.
GACGAACGCUGGCGGCGUGCCUAAUACAUGCAAGUAGAACGCUGAAGGAGGAGCUUGCUUCUCUGGCUGAGUUGCGAACGGGUGAGUAACGCGUAGGUAACCUGCCUGGUAGCGGGGGAUAACUAUUGGAAACGAUAGCUAAUACCGCAUAAGAGUAGAUGUUGCAUGACAUUUGCUUAAAAGGUGCACUUGCAUCACUACCAGAUGGCCCUGCGUUGUAUUAGCUAGGUGGUGGGGUAACGGCUCACCAAGGCGACGAUAAAUAGCCGACCUGAGAGGGUGAUCGGCCAAACUGGGACUGAGACAAGGCCCAGACUCCUACGGGAGGCAGCAGUAGGGGAUCUUCGGCAAUGGACGGAAGUCUGACCGAGCAACGCCGGGUGAGUGAAGAAGGGUUUCGGAUCGUAAAGCUCUGUUGUAAGAGAAGAACGAGUGGGAGAGUGGAAAGUUCACACUGUGACGGUAUCUUACCAGAAAGGGACGGCUAACUACGUG